UCUAAGCACGAAACUUGCCCCGAGAUGAGUUCUCCCUGACUCCYUGAGAGUCCUGAAGGAACGUUGAAGACGACGACGUUGAUAGGCCGGGUGUGUAAGCGCAGCGAUGCGUUGAGCUAACCGGUACUAAUGAACCGUGAGGCUUAACCUUACAACGCCGAAG
This 163-nucleotide ribosomal RNA is filed under the name Escherichia coli. RNAcentral describes it as "partial 23S ribosomal RNA". It matches the Rfam family "Bacterial large subunit ribosomal RNA", at positions 2780 to 2925 of the family's 2925-position model. The record is from RNAcentral. Lineage: Bacteria; Pseudomonadati; Pseudomonadota; Gammaproteobacteria; Enterobacterales; Enterobacteriaceae.